Molecule: unclassified non-coding RNA, 136 nt
Filed under: soil metagenome
Description: partial internal transcribed spacer 1
Source: RNAcentral
CAGAGUUGCAAAACUCCCAACCCUUUGUGAACGAACCUACCAGUUGCCUCGGCGGCGAGCCCUUCCGGGGGCGGACCGCCGGAGGAAUACAAACUCUUUGCAUUAUUGUAUCUCUGAUUACUUAUAUAAUAAGUUA